UACGUAGGUGGCAAGCGUUGUCCGGAUUUACUGGGCGUAAAGAGCGCGCAGGCGGUCGGAUCAGUCGAAUGUGAAAGCCCCCGGCUCAACUGGGGAGGGUCAUUCGAUACUGUCCGACUCGAAGGCAGGAGAGGGAAGCGGAAUUCCCGGUGUAGUGGUGAAAUGCGUAGAUAUCGGGAGGAACACCAGUGGCGAAGGCGGCUUUCUGGCCUGUUCUUGACGCUGAGGAGCGAAAGCGUGGGGAGCAAACAGG
RNAcentral lists this ribosomal RNA (253 nucleotides) under uncultured bacterium. RNAcentral's name for it is "partial 16S ribosomal RNA". It matches the Rfam family "Bacterial small subunit ribosomal RNA", at positions 524 to 776 of the family's 1533-position model. The record is from RNAcentral.